Molecule: long non-coding RNA, 393 nt
Organism: Carassius carassius (crucian carp)
Lineage: Eukaryota; Metazoa; Chordata; Actinopteri; Cypriniformes; Cyprinidae
Exons: 3
Source: RefSeq, a predicted model, not a curated record
CUCCAGGUAAGUUUAAAGUUCAAUACACAGGUGAGUAUUCACAGGGCUGGGCUGUUAGCGUGCAGGGGUUCUAGCUCUCAGGUAAGUACAGUGUUCAAUACACAGGUGGGUAUUCACAGGGCUGAGCUGUUAGCGUGCAGGGGUUCUAGCUCACAGGUAAGUACAGAAUUCAAUACACAGGUGAGUAUUCACAGGGCUGGGCUGUUAGCGUGCAGGGGUUCUAGCUCUCAGGUAAGUACAGUGUUCAAUACACAGGUGGGUAUUCACAGGGCUGAGCUGUUGGCGUGCAGGGGUUCUAGCUCUCAGGUAAGUGCAAAGCUCAAUACACAGGUGAGUAUUCACAGGGCUGGGCUGUUAGCGUGCAGGGGUUCUAGCUCUCAGGUAAGUACAGAG